This 253-nucleotide ribosomal RNA is filed under the name uncultured bacterium. RNAcentral's name for it is "partial 16S ribosomal RNA". It matches the Rfam family "Bacterial small subunit ribosomal RNA", at positions 524 to 776 of the family's 1533-position model. The record is from RNAcentral.
GACGAACCGUGCGAACGUUGUUCGGAAUCACUGGGCUUAAAGGGCGCGUAGGCGGGUCAGCAAGUCCGGGGUGAAAUCUUUCAGCUCAACUGGAAAAGUGCCUUGGAUACUGCUGGUCUUGAGGGAGGUAGGGGCGUGUGGAACUUCUGGUGGAGCGGUGAAAUGCGUUGAUAUCAGAAGGAACGCCGGUGGCGAAAGCGGCGCGCUGGACCUCUUCUGACGCUGAGGAGCGAAAGCUAGGGGAGCAAACGGG